This 365-nucleotide long non-coding RNA is filed under the name Cyclopterus lumpus (lumpfish). Its description in RNAcentral is "lncRNA (ENSCLMG00005017100.1)". The record is from RNAcentral. Lineage: Eukaryota; Metazoa; Chordata; Actinopteri; Perciformes; Cyclopteridae.
AUGAGCUACCGGGCGUGUCUUCCUCUGGAAUGGCCAAUGUCCAAAAAGAGGUGAGGAACAUCUCCUACCAGCACCUGGGAGCUUCCGAAAGGGGCGUGUCCGGCGGCAAAUCAAAGUCUUCUCAUGACGCAUUCAACAUGCCGCGCAGAGGGAGCGAGCCGGGGAAAGUCAACAUGGCCGCCGUUGCUCCCUUCAGGUUCAGUAGGUUUCAGGUCCACGAGGACACAGAUCCCGGCCUCGAUGAUCUCAGUGACUGCUCCUCUGACUCCAUGGAGGUCUGCUGUGACGAGCUCGGAAAAUGGUUUGAUACGGAUGUGCCGGUGUUUUUCUCCCUCGCUGAUGCGUUUCUACAUGGUCUCGUGCAG